This is a long non-coding RNA of Felis catus (domestic cat), 710 nucleotides long. RefSeq lists it as uncharacterized. The transcript has 2 exons. The record is from RefSeq and is a predicted model, not a curated record. Lineage: Eukaryota; Metazoa; Chordata; Mammalia; Carnivora; Felidae.
UAAGGAACUUGGGGUGACUUUAUGAAACAUGGAGCCAUAAAGGAAAUGUUGGCCUGAUACCUUGCUUACAGAGCUCCCAGCAGCCUCACCAGGUGAAUAAAGAAGGUCACUUCCUGGCAGGUGCAAGAACCUAAGGAUACCUUGGGGACCUGGUGAAGAGGAAUUCGCCCAAUUCUACAGGAUGGGUCAAAGCCUUCCCAACAAGGAUGGAAUGAAGUCAUGAGGUGGCCAAAGCUCUUCUACAGGAAAUCGUGCCUUGAUUUGGUCUGCUCCUAACCAUACCCAGUGACAACGGACCUGCAUUUGUAGCGGACAUUAUGCAAAGCCUGACCAGGUCCCUCAACAUUACCUGGAAACUGCAACAUUCAUCUUAGCCCUCUGAAGGUACCAACCCCUAGAGCUAAAGGGUGAUGCCUACUGAAACAGAUUUUUUUUGUUAAAAAAGGCAUCAAAGGGGGGAAUGUUGGGAAAAUAAGUAAAGUUCUGCACCAUAAGAUGGCCGAUGGGACUAACAUAAGCUCUAGUUCUUAGCUUAGAGACUCCUCUUCCAGGUUCUUCCUGCUCUGUUUGCCAUGCGUGUACAAGCCACCAUGAAUGCAGAAGAGAUAACGCUAUAAAUUAUCUUUCCUACUUGCGUUCGGGGCUCAGAUCUCUGGAGAAGGAUCUUCUCUGAGCCCACUGGUGUAAAAUAAAACGCCGAUGCACCAACA